RNAcentral lists this ribosomal RNA (468 nucleotides) under uncultured bacterium. RNAcentral's name for it is "partial 16S ribosomal RNA". It matches the Rfam family "Bacterial small subunit ribosomal RNA", at positions 28 to 507 of the family's 1533-position model. The record is from RNAcentral.
GACGAACGCUGGCGGCGUGCUUAACACAUGCAAGUCGAACGGAAAGGCCCUGCUUUUGUGGGGUGCUCGAGUGGCGAACGGGUGAGUAACACGUGAGUAACCUGCCCUUGACUUUCGGAUAACUUCAGGAAACUGGGGCUAUUACCGGAUAGGAGCUCCUGCUCCAUGGUGGUGGUUGGUAAGUUUCGGCGGUUGGGGCUGGACUCGCGGCUUAUCAGCUUGUUGGUGGGGUAGUGGCUUACCAAGGCUUUGACGGGUAGCCGGCCUGAGAGGGUGACCGGCCACAUUGGGACUGAGAGACGGCCCAGACUCCUACGGGAGGCAGCAGUGGGGAGUAUUGCAGAGUGGGCGGAAGCCUGAUGCAGCGACGCCGCGUGCGGGAUGACGGCCUUCGGGUUGUAAACCGCUUUCGCAGGUGACGAGGCGGGAGUGACGGUAAUGGGUAAAGAAGCACCGGCUAACUACGUG